This is a long non-coding RNA of Neofelis nebulosa (Clouded leopard), 246 nucleotides long. RefSeq lists it as uncharacterized. NCBI's taxonomy places the organism in Eukaryota, Metazoa, Chordata, Mammalia, Carnivora, Felidae. The transcript is spliced from 2 exons. The record is from RefSeq and is a predicted model, not a curated record.
CUCUUGGCGUUCUAGAACGCUCGCCGGAGACCGGGAGAAAGGGAAGGAUGGCUAUCUCCCAGCAGGAAUCGAGCGGGAUUCCUAGUGAACACAGGGGCCUCGAGUUGCCGUCAGCCGCUGGGGAAAGCCAAGGCGGGGAGUUUGAACGUAGGGAAACAGAAAGAAAGCCCCUAGAUGAAGCCAUUCCACAAUCCAUCAACUUUUUCAGCUACGCCAGCCAAUAAAUUGCCUUUGGGGCUUAAGUCA